Schistocerca serialis cubense is the source of this 72-nucleotide non-coding RNA. The record is from the annotation of a RefSeq genome assembly. Lineage: Eukaryota; Metazoa; Arthropoda; Insecta; Orthoptera; Acrididae.
GCCAGGGUGGCGUAGUGGUUAUCGCGUCUGCCUACUGAGCUGCAGACCCAGGUUUGAAUCCUGGUCUUGGUA